CUGGCUCAGGAUGAACGCUAGCGGCAGGCUUAACACAUGCAAGUCGAGGGGUAUAUGUCUUCGGAUAUAGAGACCGGCGCACGGGUGCGUAACGCGUAUGCAAUCUACCUUUCACAGAGGGAUAGCCCAGAGAAAUUUGGAUUAAUACCUCAUAGUAUUAUUGAGUGGCAUCACUUAAUAAUUAAAGUCACAACGGUGAAAGAUGAGCAUGCGUCCCAUUAGCUAGUUGGUAAGGUAACGGCUUACCAAGGCAACGAUGGGUAGGGGUCCUGAGAGGGAGAUCCCCCACACUGGUACUGAGACACGGACCAGACUCCUACGGGAGGCAGCAGUGAGGAAUAUUGGACAAUGGGCGCAAGCCUGAUCCAGCCAUGCCGCGUGCAGGAUGACGGUCCUAUGGAUUGUAAACUGCUUUUGUACGAGAAGAAACACUGCUUCGUGAAGCAGCUUGACGGUAUCGUAAGAAUAAGGAUCGGCUAACUCCGUGCCAGCA
Molecule: ribosomal RNA, 493 nt
Filed under: Flavobacterium oncorhynchi
Lineage: Bacteria; Pseudomonadati; Bacteroidota; Flavobacteriia; Flavobacteriales; Flavobacteriaceae
Description: bacterial SSU rRNA
Rfam family: Bacterial small subunit ribosomal RNA
Source: RNAcentral